This 468-nucleotide ribosomal RNA is filed under the name uncultured bacterium. RNAcentral's name for it is "partial 16S ribosomal RNA". It matches the Rfam family "Bacterial small subunit ribosomal RNA", at positions 28 to 507 of the family's 1533-position model. The record is from RNAcentral.
GACGAACGCUGGCGGCGUGCUUAACACAUGCAAGUCGAACGGAAAGGCCCUGCUUUUGUGGGGUGCUCGAGUGGCGAACGGGUGAGUAACACGUGAGUAACCUGCCCUUGACUUUGGGAUAACUUCAGGAAACUGGGGCUAAUACCGGAUAGGAGCUCCUGCUGCAUGGUGGGGGUUGGAAAGUUUCGGCGGUUGGGGAUGGACUCGCGGCUUAUCAGCUUGUUGGUGGGGUAGUGGCUUACCAAGGCUUUGACGGGUAGCCGGCCUGAGAGGGUGACCGGCCACAAUGGGACUGAGAUACGGCCCAGACUCCUACGGGAGGCAGCAGUGGGGAAUAUUGCACAAUGGGCGGAAGCCUGAUGCAGCAACGCCGCGUGCGGGAUGACGGCCUUCGGGUUGUAAACCGCUUUCGCCUGUGACGAAGCGUGAGUGACGGUAAUGGGUAAGGAAGCACCGGCUAACUACGCG